CUGACCCUUUCGCAGGAGAAUCAUUUCUAUAGUAUUCGACCUCCUCUUGGUUCCCUAAAAGAGCCACAGAUCCCACCCUGGUUGAUGAGUGCAUAUCCUCGACACCCUAGAGUGAAUACCUCGGUCCUCUCGCUCUAUCCGCAAGGAUAGCGGUACUACUUCAUUGUGGCUACUGUAUAGAGAGACGUUUACCUCUUGAUGAUCUCGAUCCCGUUUGCGGUCUGCUUUCGGGCGCGCGCUCGGGAUGGGUGUUGAUGGACGUCUGACAGGC
This 271-nucleotide small nucleolar RNA is filed under the name Neonectria ditissima. RNAcentral describes it as "Fungal small nucleolar RNA U3". It matches the Rfam family "Fungal small nucleolar RNA U3". Rfam says of the family: Small nucleolar RNAs (snoRNAs) are involved in the processing and modification of rRNA in the nucleolus. There are two main classes of snoRNAs: the box C/D class, and the box H/ACA class. The record is from Rfam by way of RNAcentral. Lineage: Eukaryota; Fungi; Ascomycota; Sordariomycetes; Hypocreales; Nectriaceae.